Molecule: ribosomal RNA, 423 nt
Filed under: Janusya tubuloreticulosa
Lineage: Eukaryota; Metazoa; Porifera; Calcarea; Clathrinida; Clathrinidae
Description: partial large subunit ribosomal RNA
Source: RNAcentral
UAAAAGCACGUGAAGCCGUUGAAAGGGAAACGCGCUCGGCUAGCAAUGUGCCACGGUGGUUCAGCCGGCUUGGCGGCGGAGGUCGUGCCUUUCGGAUCCGAAGGACCGAGGGUGCGGUCGUCCGUUGUCGAGCUGCGGUGCACUCUACCGGGGCACGCGUCAGCGUCGGUUUGCAGCAGGCGACAAGGCCAGUUGGAAGGUAGCUCGAAGCUUGCUCCGAGUAUUAUAGACAACUGAUGCUGGGUCUGCUGCAGACCGAGGAGAGAGAUGAUCGCUGCAGUGCAUGCCGCAAGGCUAGCUGCCCGUUGUCCGGUUUGCCGCACGAGCUGAGGACUGCACGCAGUGUUCGGUUCGGCACGGUGGCCGGGUGGUGGAGCGGUAUACAUGCACUUAGGACGCUGGCGUCCAAAUGGCCGUGCGCGA